GACGAACGCUGGCGGCGUGCCUAAUACAUGCAAGUUGAGCGCUGAAGGCUGGUACUUGUACCAACUGGAUGAGCAGCGCACGGGUGAGUAACGCGUGGGGAAUCUGCCUUUGAGCGGGGGACAACAUUUGGAAACGAAUGCUAAUACCGCAUAAAAACUUUAAACACAAGUUUUAAGGUUGAAAUACGCAAUUGCAUCACUCAAAGAUGAUCCCGCGUUGUAUUAGCUAGUUGGUGAGGUAAAGGAUCACCAAGGCGAUGUUACGUAGCCGACCUGAGAGGGCGGUCGGCCGGCCUGGGAGUGAGACCGGGCCCAAAGGCCUUGGGGAGGCAGCAGUAGGGAAUCGUGAGCAAUGGGCGAAAGUCUGAGCGAGAAAGGCCGAGUGAGUGAGGAAGGUUGUCGGGUCGUAGAACUCUGUUGUUAGGGAAGAAAGUUGGUGAGAGUGGAAAGCUCAGCAAGUGACGGUAACUAGUCAGAAAGGGACGGCUAACUACGUG
This 497-nucleotide ribosomal RNA is filed under the name uncultured bacterium. Its description in RNAcentral is "partial 16S ribosomal RNA". It matches the Rfam family "Bacterial small subunit ribosomal RNA", at positions 28 to 507 of the family's 1533-position model. The record is from RNAcentral.